CCUACGGGAGGCUGCAGUGGGGAAUAUUGGACAAUGGGCGAAAGCCUGAUCCAGCCAUGCCGCGUGUGUGAAGAAGGCCUUCGGGUUGUAAAGCACUUUCAGUGGGGAAGAAAGCCUUGGGGCUAAUACCCUCGAGGAAGGACAUCACCCACAGAAGAAGCACCGGCUAACUCCGUGCCAGCAGCCGCGGUAAUACGGAGGGUGCGAGCGUUAAUCGGAAUUACUGGGCGUAAAGCGCGCGUAGGCGGUCUGAUAAGCCGGUUGUGAAAGCCCCGGGCUCAACCUGGGAACGGCAUCCGGAACUGUCAGGCUAGAGUGCAGGAGAGGAAGGUAGAAUUCCCGGUGUAGCGGUGAAAUGCGUAGAGAUCGGGAGGAAUACCAGUGGCGAAAGCGGCCUUCUGGACUGACACUGACGCUGAGGUGCGAAAGCGUGGGUAGCAAACAGGAUUAGAUACCCUAGUAGUC
Molecule: ribosomal RNA, 465 nt
Filed under: Vreelandella stevensii
Lineage: Bacteria; Pseudomonadati; Pseudomonadota; Gammaproteobacteria; Oceanospirillales; Halomonadaceae
Description: partial 16S ribosomal RNA
Rfam family: Bacterial small subunit ribosomal RNA
Source: RNAcentral